UUAUGGCUCAGUGGUAGAGCACUUGCCUAGCAUGUGAGAGGCACUGGGUUCAAUCCUCAGCACCACAUAAA
RNAcentral lists this transfer RNA (71 nucleotides) under Marmota monax (woodchuck). RNAcentral's name for it is "tRNA.Ala". The stretch from base 4 to 60 matches the Rfam family "tRNA", at positions 8 to 63 of the family's 71-position model. Rfam says of the family: Transfer RNA (tRNA) molecules are approximately 80 nucleotides in length. Their secondary structure includes four short double-helical elements and three loops (D, anti-codon, and T loops). Lineage: Eukaryota; Metazoa; Chordata; Mammalia; Rodentia; Sciuridae. The record is from RNAcentral.